GAAGCGAAGUGAUCUACCCAUGGCCAGGUUGAAGCGCGUGUAAGAGCGCGUGGAGGACCGAACCCACUUCAGUUGAAAAUGGAGGGGAUGAGCUGUGGGUAGGGGUGAAAGGCCAAUCAAACUUCGUGAUAGCUGGUUCUCCCCGAAAUGCAUUUAGGUGCAGCGUUACGUGUUUCUUGCCGGAGGUAGAGCUACUGGAUGGCCGAUGGGCCCUACAAGGUUACUGACGUCAGCCAAACUCCGAAUGCCGGUAAGUGAGAGCGUAGCAGUGAGACUGUGGGGGAUAAGCUUCAUAGUCGAGAGGGAAACAGCCCAGACCACCAACUAAGGCCCC
Molecule: ribosomal RNA, 334 nt
Filed under: Streptococcus pneumoniae
Lineage: Bacteria; Bacillati; Bacillota; Bacilli; Lactobacillales; Streptococcaceae
Description: partial 23S ribosomal RNA
Rfam family: Bacterial large subunit ribosomal RNA
Source: RNAcentral